GGAGGCUUGGGGGAGUGGUUUAACCCAACGGUCUUGAAAACCGUCGGCCGGUCAAACGGCCCGUGAGUUCGAAUCUCACAGCCUCCGCCA
RNAcentral lists this transfer RNA (90 nucleotides) under Roseateles puraquae. RNAcentral's name for it is "Pelomonas puraquae tRNA-Ser". It matches the Rfam family "tRNA". From Rfam's summary of the family: Transfer RNA (tRNA) molecules are approximately 80 nucleotides in length. Their secondary structure includes four short double-helical elements and three loops (D, anti-codon, and T loops). Further hydrogen bonds mediate the characteristic L-shaped molecular structure. tRNAs have two regions of fundamental functional importance: the anti-codon, which is responsible for specific mRNA codon recognition, and the 3' end, to which the tRNAs corresponding amino acid is attached (by aminoacyl-tRNA synthetases). tRNAs cope with the degeneracy of the genetic code in two manners: having more than one tRNA (with a specific anti-codon) for a particular amino acid; and 'wobble' base-pairing, i.e. permitting non-standard base-pairing at the 3rd anti-codon position. RNAcentral also lists the same sequence under 5 other names. Lineage: Bacteria; Pseudomonadati; Pseudomonadota; Betaproteobacteria; Burkholderiales; Sphaerotilaceae. The record is from RNAcentral.